This 380-nucleotide unclassified non-coding RNA is filed under the name uncultured Gemmatimonadota bacterium. RNAcentral's name for it is "uncultured Gemmatimonadetes bacterium contains 16S-23S intergenic spacer region". The record is from RNAcentral. Lineage: Bacteria; Pseudomonadati; Gemmatimonadota.
UCCGGUUUAUCACCGGCAGUCUCUGCAGAGUCCUCGGCUUGACCCGUUAGCAACAGCAGACAAGGGUUGCGCUCGUUGCGGGACUUAACCCAACAUCUCACGACACGAGCUGACGACAGCCAUGCAGCACCUGUGCUAGAGUCCCGAAGGAGGGCCCGGCUUUCACCGGGCUUUCUCUAGCAUGUCAAAUCCAGGUAAGGUUCUUCGCGUUGCAUCGAAUUAAGCCACAUGCUCCACCGCUUGUGCGGGCCCCCGCCAAUUCCUUUGAGUUUCAGCCUUGCGGCCGUACUCCCCAGGCGGGGCACUUACUGCGUUAGCGACGGCACUCAGAGGGUCGCUCCCCCAAGCACCUAGUGCCCAUCGUUUACGGCGUGGACUAC